Molecule: long non-coding RNA, 241 nt
Filed under: Homo sapiens (human)
Lineage: Eukaryota; Metazoa; Chordata; Mammalia; Primates; Hominidae
Description: long non-coding RNA NONHSAT202215.1
Source: RNAcentral
UAGAAUUUCUGGAUCAAUUUGGAAACUAAGACUAGAAAAGAUCUGUGUUUCGUCAUCUGGAACCCAGGGAGAGGGUGAGGCACGUGGAGUUCCUUGACCCCUCAUCUUGCUGAAGCAGCAAGCAUGGGUGAGUGCAGAGAAGCCUCACGCACUCUUGGGCUACCAAGAGCUGUGCCAACACUGUUGUGUAAGUUGGCCAGAGAGGAACCCUGUAUACUGGACACUAAGUUUUUUACUUCUU